GACGAACGCUGGCGGCGUGCUUAACACAUGCAAGUCGAACGGAAAGGCCCUGCUUUUGUGGGGUGCUCGAGUGGCGAACGGGUGAGUAACACGUGAGUAACCUGCCCUUGACUUUGGGAUAACUUCAGGAAACUGGGGCUAAUACCGGAUAGGAGCUCCUGCUGCAUGGUGGGGGUUGGAAAGUUUCGGCGGUUGGGGAUGGACUCGCGGCUUAUCAGCUUGUUGGUGGGGUAGUGGCUUACCAAGGCUUUGACGGGUAGCCGGCCUGAGAGGGUGACCGGCCACAUUGGGACUGAGAUACGGCCCAGACUGCUACGGGAGGCAGCAGUGGGGAAUAUUGCACAAUGGGCGGAAGCAUGAUGCAGCAACGCCGCGUGCGGGAUGACGGCCUUCGGGUUGUAAACCGCUUUCGCCUGUGACGAAGCGUGAGUGACGGUAAUGGGUAAAGAAGCACCGGCUAACUACGUG
Molecule: ribosomal RNA, 468 nt
Filed under: uncultured bacterium
Lineage: Bacteria
Description: partial 16S ribosomal RNA
Rfam family: Bacterial small subunit ribosomal RNA
Source: RNAcentral